This 202-nucleotide long non-coding RNA is filed under the name Nicotiana benthamiana. RNAcentral describes it as "long non-coding RNA (NBEN_LNC001486)". Lineage: Eukaryota; Viridiplantae; Streptophyta; Magnoliopsida; Solanales; Solanaceae. The record is from RNAcentral.
UAGUAAAUAAAAAUGUUAUUAUAAGAGAUUUUGAGGAUCUAUGAUUGUUCAUGAUUCAUUCUUUUUUGCUAUUCCGUGAUUAUUAAUGCUUGAAAUUUGAGGUUGCAGCUUCUGCUUACUAAUAUACUUCAUGUUGCUGCUGAACUUUUGUUGAAACUUUUAUAGUGUGAAACAGAAUGUAUAUUUUGGUAUAUCAGUUAAU